Molecule: long non-coding RNA, 9028 nt
Filed under: Ooceraea biroi (clonal raider ant)
Lineage: Eukaryota; Metazoa; Arthropoda; Insecta; Hymenoptera; Formicidae
Description: uncharacterized LOC105275164, transcript variant X2
Source: RNAcentral
ACGAUAAAUCAAAUGUUUUGCGAUUAAAUCCUGGUCUAUAUAAGACGGGCUUGAACUUGCGCGCGCGAGUAUGUGGCAAUCGACUUGCCCCAUUACCCCAAAGGUGAAAUCUGCCGGCAAAAAGAGAGCGCCAACGUCACUUAUCGAAAUUAGUAGUAAACUAGCAGUGGAAACUAACAUCCGUUUUUACGUAGUUCCAAAAGUCCUUAGUGAAGAAGUUCUUAGGAGGAAAUAUCUGUUUUUAAGUGACGUUCGUGCGAUGCAUUAAACUUGUAUAAUACGUUCUCUGUGUUCCUUGUGCCAAGACCGAUUACCAGUUUUGCCAGAGAUUUCUUCUUUAGAUUCCUUUGUCACUUACAUUAAAUAUUAUUACAUGAUACUAAAGUAAACUGAUGUGGAUAAAAUAGAAGGAGAAGGUUGUAAUAUAUGAGCACAUGAAACAUAUUAAAGAAGAAAAGAAGAGAGAACAGAAUCCGCUUGCGGAAAGCGAUAUUCUUGGAACUUGAUAUCGUGAAUUUUGUACUUCUUCUUGUCUUCAGAAUUCUGGUCUUCAGAGAGAAAUAACGUUCUAUGUAUGAUCUUUAAUAUCAAAUCAAAUUCUGCUGCUUCGUGUCUCCUAAUGCAUAAUUCAACGGUGCGCGUGCUGCAGGCGAUUAUGCGUGCAAUACAUCUUCCGUUGAUUCCUCGACUCAUGUAACCAGCCGAUAAUCCUUGCAACAUAAAACCCGAUAUGGCUCCUUUGUCAGACGAAUAUAUAGAGCGUCAGUAGCCACUUGACAAUACAUUCAAUAAGUGAUUAACAUAUUAUAAUCUGCAAUAAAAUUUUUCCUUACGUCUACAAAUUAAAAUAUAAAAUUAAAAUAUAAAUAUAAAUUGUUAACUUUACAAGUGUGUUUCACACAUUCCACUAAAAUUUUUCUGGGAACUGAGGAAAGGAAGAAGAUUUCCGUUAAAAUUACGAAACACAGUUCAUCAGAAUGACUUGCUUCUCUCAGUUGUUUCGGUAUUCAAAGUUAAAGUGUUGUCAUUGAAACUUCCGUCAUUAUUUUUAACUGUGUUUUAACUCUAUAUUGUCUUUAGCGAGCAAAUGGCGUUGCAAGUUUGGGAUACUCCGUUGAGCAAAUCCGCUUGACUUCCCCUUUCCCGAUGGUUGGCCCGGUAUCGAUUCUUGAUUUGCAAGAAUUACGAUGCGUUCGCAAUCGCAAUCGCGCUGAUAACAAAUUUCCUUUUAACGGAUAUUGCAUUCUUCGGAACGACAUAGCUCCGUUCUUUUUCAACUGCCGGCAUUUACCAUGAUUUCUGCCUGCAGCGGCCCGUGAAAUUUUGCAUUUUUCGAUUCACACGCAGGUGGGACGCGAGAGGGAAAUGUUAUUUCCGACGUGCGAUUGCAAGCAAAUUUUCACGACCUCCGAACAUAUCGCUUGGAUAUUUCGUGAAUGGUGAUUUCACUUAGUCCAGUUGAGUGGAAACGUUUCAACUACAUUGCACGAGCGCUUCGACUCACUCGAAUAGCCAACGGCGAAUAAGUCUAAUGUCUUAAUAAUACAGCAUCAAAAAGCUUUAACGUAAAAUUCCAGUUUAAAUCACUGCUUUUGACACUUUACGAGUAAAAAUAUUAUUUGCUGUCGGAAAACGAUAAUAAAUGUUCUGUUCUACAUUAUUAUACGUGAUUGUGGCGAAGACAGAAGAUGCGUGAAAAGCGAGUGAGUUUAAUAUGUCUUGUUAAGAAAUUAAGUCUUUUUAUUCAUCGUUGUUCCAACAACUAAAUUAAAACAUAUAUCUUUCUACAUGAAAUAUGAAGAUGUGGAAACGCAAAACUAUUAAGGCAAUUUCUCGCUUAAGCGAUCAGGAGUUCAGGUCUUCAUGCGCGUCGAAUAACUCUCUUCAAACACCAUUUAAUCGUUUAUCGUUGAAGCUCAGAUGAUAAUAACUUUAUAUUGGAUAACAGAGAGAUGACGGUGACUGGCUUCAUAUCUUGCUACAAACAAAGCACAUAUCUCGCAUUGCAAAUUUGUGGGGGGACACGCCAGAUCCAAUACCGCAAAUAUGAAAAUAACUAUAACGUAUCCGACCACCUAUAUCACCCCACGUGCCAUUGUGUGAAAAUGCAAGAAUUUCCACUCGAGUCGCUGUAGCAGUGAAUCGCAAAGGACGGUAUUUUCUCAUUUUCCAUGUUGUAGCUCAGUAACAAUUAAUAUCACCAUGUUGUUUCGCUGAAAGAGAAAGAGAGACUCCUGCUCUGUUGACACAGGGACUUCAAAUGGUCGCUUUCAGAACAGAACUAAAAGCUCUCCGAACGGUUAAAUCAAUUUACAUAACUGAGUUUCAUUCGUACUUUAAAUUAACUCCUAUGACAGCACAUUUUGCAACAUACUCGAAAUUGCCAUUAGAGGAAAUAAAACAUUAAUUAAUUGCUAUGUUUUUCGUUUUCUGCAACAGUAUAUUGGAAAAAUUUAGCAUGUAAUCAGUAAUUUGUCAUAUUUUAUGCUGCAUGUGUAUAGAUAUAUAAUCAUUUCAUCAUAAUGAAUUCUUCCGGAUUCUUUUCCUGUCGAGAGAGAGGGAGAGAUAGCCAGAACCAGAUAUGUUUUAUUUUAUUUAUACAGGAAAUAGUUAAUUAAUUGAAUCACGUUCUGCAAGCAAACCUGACAAUAUUGUUAGUUGGUCGGUCGAGUUCUUCCAGCAGAUUUUAAUCCAAUUAUUCUACCGAGCAGAGUUGAUCAAUAUAAAUAUUUGAAAGCGCGCGUCCUGCGAAAAGCGCAGACAGGUCUUGUUUGCAAUAAAAUAAAAUCAUAUCAGGAAAUCAGAUUAAAGUGUUACACACGUAUGCAAGCGCAAUAUAAAUAGAUCUAUGAACGAGCUGAAGUUAACUUUGCCAUGUAACUGUUUAUCAAAAUUUAUUAUACAAUAUUUACUGCUGCUGCUCCAUCUUUUAUUGCAUUACCGAGAUACUUAUAGUCUCCGAUAAAUUUAUUAAGCAAAGUGUAAAUUUAAGCCGAACGCUCCAUAGCUAAAGUGAAAUACGAUUAUUUUUUAACACUCUGCACAUGGCGAGUAUAUUUAAACGCUUUUAAGCCGUAAGGAUUUCGCUAGGCUGUAUUAAACCUCUAUAAAGGGUAGGAUAUCUGCAUACUUCAUCGUCAGGAAGACGAAAAUUGCUGAAAAUAUCCCAGUCUCAUGUUCGUCAAAUUGGUCAUAUCGAUUAUCGAUUGCAACUACGAAAGGGAACUCCGGGAAUUCCGAAUUAUCAUCGCUUUCACGAAAGAACGACUUCACUUGCCAUCAAGUGAAGUAGAAUUGGAAUUUUAUCAUUGCACAUACACACGCAUACGCUAUACACAUACACAUGCAUGUAUAUGUACAGCUUAUAGUCAUAAGUUAAUUAUUGAUUUCCAGUUUGUCGGUUAAUCGAUAUAUCAAAUCAGAGGAAACCUUUUUACAGUUAAAUCUGUUUUCAAUUUUUAUACUGUAAACUCAAAGUGACUUUAACAUGAUCACAGAAACAGUUUACCCCAGCUUCGUUACAGGAAAGCAGUUCCAUUUCAUCAACUUAAUGUACAUGAUCCUAACUGAUCUUAAUUCAUUUUAUCUGCUCGUCGCGUCUGUGAUUAUUUGUUUAUUCAAAUUUGAUAGCGAGAAAUGAGACGCGCAUACACAUUCCAUUACUCCAAGUUAUUCUGUAAGAAUGUAGGAGCGUGACAUGUGCAUAAUUAUCGUUAAAUAAUUAUCGGCGCGCAAUUCCGGUGCAAGUUAGGCCGAGAUAAUAAGGUAACCGGUUAAACGUAUAAAUUGGGUGCGCAUGUGCCUCGGAGGUUUUAGCAAACUCUCGAUGCCGUGGUAACGCGGUGACCCGUGCCGAAAGCCCAGCUCAGGCCGGUUACCGUAUUACAAAUUAGAUUCGCUAACUCUUCUCUAGCAGAUAAUUCGUUUAAACGUCCGGGCGCGAAAUAGAGCGGGUAACUCAAUGGCCUUGGCUAACUGGAUUUUUCAGCCGGACACAAAACUGACGUGAUUACCUGCAAUUAUAAUGAUAUCACCACAUCUCACCCUCGCCCGCGAAGUUAAUGAUCGAAGAAACUUGGAAGCAAACAAGUCGGUCCCCAGAAAGCGUAGGAUAACAGGUGUCCCUGAUCGACUGCAUUUCCUACCAAUCUGCAAUCCCUUCAACGAACUUCAGGUUGUCUUUCCUCAAGGGAAAUUCGAUGGAUCGUUCACUUACACCGCUGUUGCCGGGACCGUUUCCAAUGAAACUGCUCUUGUGUAUUUCGAGUUCGAACUUCACGUUAAUGGGAAUUUAUUUUUGAAUUCAGUCAUCAAAAACUCGGCAAAUCUAAGAACUGAAAUUAAUUUGGUGUUGUAAAAAGUUGAAGAGGUUGACGUCUGCCAUCGCAUAAUUUUCUCUAAAGACUCAUUAGGAACAUCCGGCUGAAAUUGAUGCGAAACAUCUCACAUAUGACUCUACUACAGUUAUGCUUGGAUACUAAUUUACUUAAGUACUAAUUUUCUCGAGCCCUAACAUGCUUGGCUGCUAACUUUCUUAAAUACCAAAUUCCUGGAAUCCAGAUUUCAAGGAGUCCUAGCAUAUAAGACUUGGCUUUGAUCCUAGUUUGCCUGGAUAGUCGCUGGCCUAGAUAGUAGUUUGCUUAGAUCCCAGCAAACCUCCUUUCUCUAUGUACAAGUUCCAUCUUUUGUGUUCCAGCUUUUGGGUUUCUUGAAUUCGACAGUGCACGACUUUCUUCAGCAAAGAACAUGACAUAUCAUACAUAUUUUGAUCAAACGCAUCAGGGAACUCACGCAGAAAUAUGAUAAGACAAGAAUAAUAAAUUGAAAAUAAACCAAAGAAAAACAGAGAUUUCCUCUCUUUAUGUAUAAGUUUCAUCUUUUGUAUUCCAGCUUUUGAGUUUCUUGAAUUCGACAUUGCACGACAUUCUUCAGCAAAGAACAUGGCAUAUUACACAUAUUUUGAUCAAACGCAUCAGAGGCAGAAACACAUAUUUCGCAGAAAUAUAAGACAAAAGUAAUAAAUUAAGAAUAAAAGGAACCAAAGGAACAGAGAUCUGAUAGUUCUAUUAAUGAAUACUCUCCACCUUGGUCACGAGACUUUUAUUCAUUCGCGAUAAGGUAAGAAAUUCAGUCCGCGCUCUGCCUUCGCGAAGAAUUUGUCACGUCUAUAAAACGUGGAUCUCCGUCAGCUUGCACUCGAUGCGAGGUAAACGACGCACGAAUGUGAAGAUACGCGAGCAGCAGAGAGAGGAGAGACGAAAAGGAAGAAGAGGAAUUCCCGGUGGGAAGGGUGCACGGUUGUCGUGGCGCCGAAUGUUAUCAUCCUCGCAUCUUCCUCAUCGUAUUCGUCGCUUUGAUUCUAUCCGCAAUUCGUCGGUGAAACAUUUUCCUAGGAAAUACCGCGAACGUGCGUCGCAAGGUACACAAGUUCCAGAACUGCGAGUCGUAUUGGCUGCUCAUGGAUUAAAUGCAUUAACAUCCUCGAAGCGGCAUGGGAUUGUGUGCGUAUGAAUGUAAAUUAAUUAGAGAUAUUUGUAAAAUUUAUGCGCUUUCGCUUACGAUAUUUAAUAACUGUGGUAAUUACCAUUAUAAUUAUCGUUUUGUUCAGUUUAUCACUUGGUACUUAUCGAUUGGAUAAGACGUGUGAUUCCAGAAUACCGUAUACUGUAUGUUACAAUGAGCUUUUCUACGAGGACAUAGGAACACGCCGGGAACGAGUUUGUGGAGGCGAAAUUCUGUUAAAACUAACUAAGCGAAGGCGGUUGUGAAAACAAUUUCACUCGCAACAAGCCUUUACAACUACGGAACUUGUGGUUUCAACAAGAAUCCCAGGAACUCCAUCUCGGCACUUUGAAUUCGACCUCAUUGUAAUGCGGAAUUUGAUCUGCGCCAUUUUCGUGAAAUCUCAUUACAAAGUGCGGUAUGUAAUCAAAAUUAUCCGAGGAAUUUAAUUUAUGCCACAAUCUGCAAUAGUUGUAUCAAUAUUGUAGGUGAGAGCAAACCACGGUUAUUCUGCGGUUUAAAGGUAAAUAAACGAAUAUCAUAAAUAUAACGUUGCCUUUGUUCUACUUUUGUACUGUGCAAGAACGUCAGUCGUUUCCGUUUCAAGAUAUUGAUCUGGCGAAAUAUGUCGUCUUCUAUUUACGCACGGCCGGCUUCCUCAGGAAUUUCCUCUAUUUUCGGAAGCCUAAUUGUAGUCUAUUGUAAUCGCGUUCCAUUCUUUGCUGUCGCACCUGCAACCAGCUGGAAUUCAACUUCCUGUCUAGCGACAGCAGGAACAUUCGCUUUUCUAUUAGCAGUUUCAUUAAAGUGAAAAAUGGUUUUGUGUAUCAUAUCUCACAAUUAUUUAGAGUUUCAAGAACUUGAACGUAAUAUCCGAGACUUUAUACUUGGUGCAAUAAUGAAGUGAAAUCGAACAGAUAUUUCUAAAGUACGAGGAAUAUACAGAGCGUGGAAUACAGAGAGUGUUUCAUGAGAACAUCAAACUUCUGGAUGGAAACAAUCUCUUGACAUAUUUCGACCUUUUCUUAUCGUAACUUUAAAGUUAUGCUCUUCGAGAUUACAAAUAAGGCAAUAUUUCAUCUCUUAGUUAAUUUAAGUUCGUGUUAGUGUAACUUGAUUGUGAGAAUGUCUAAAAUGUUUAAGGGAUUAUGGAAAUAUUAUGGAAGAGAUUACGAAUUACAUCGUUAGACACAACAGAUUUUGGUAUCUAUCUUUUUUAUGAAUAAAACUUUGAUUAAAAAUAUUGCUAUCUUAGUUUGUAUAUUGAAUAUUAUAUAAUAUUUUCCUCAAAAAUUCUAUUUCGUUAUUCCAAUAAAACUGUGUUGAAACUGCAUAAAGAAUAACGUCCAAUAUUUUUACUGCUUUCAAAAUACUUGAAAUUCUAAAAUUGAAUAACGCAAGCUAAUUCUCAAAGUAAAUGCAUCAACCUUUCUAAGAACAAUAAGAACGAUAAAUGGGAUCGACAACAUAGCAUUGAUCGAGCAAGUUUAUCAAUUGUGUUAAACAAAUUAAAGUUUGAUUGUGUAGUUUAAUUCUGCGAUAUACUUGCUUCAGUCAUUUAAUUGAAAAGUCUUGGAAUUAGAUUAUGCACAAAUAUGUAAUUACAUAUUAAUACUUUAAAUUUGUUAUCUCUCUUAGCAGUUAUUUCUCUUAGGUCGUGCAAAUGAUAUGUGGUUCAGAUGGUUAGCAAUCGCUAGAACCAAAACAAAUAAUUACAGAAUAAAUUCUUGUACAUAUAAAACUCUUCGAUAACGUUCACAGAAGUUUAUCUCUAAUUUUUAUUUUCUAAGAGUUACUUCAAUUUAUUUUAUUUGCCUUACCUACUUCAAACAAUUGAAAUAAAACGGACAAUGUUUUAUUACUCAAAAGAUUCGACAUAACAAUGAAAGCUCUUAUAAUAACAACAGAUUUUUAAGGAACUUGAGGAAGUCGAUCUUAAGCGAUACAAGCGAUGAGGAAAGAAUUACAUUUAGAGCAACUUCCUCGAGUCCUUAAAAAAGUGGGCGCGCGUUGCAUUUAAUCGUUCGAUUUAAUCGUACAAUUUAACCGAACGAUUUUUCUCGAGGACGAUAGAAAGCUUCGUACACUUCGCGAACGCGAAGUCUGUGAGGUUUCGCCACUUGCCAGUAGAAGAUUAAAGCGGAAUCUCCGGUAAUCGAUCGCUUGCCCUUCUCUAUUUGCCUGCCACACGCUUCUCUCCCCGCGGAAGCUGCAAUUUCGAGAGUCCGGUAAUCCGUUGCAACUGCGUUCCAUUCUUUCCGGCCGCAUUUGUAGCCCGAAUUUACUUUCGCCGAGCGAUAACGGCAGGAACGUUUGCCUUUCAUCCCGCGACAGUCCUUUAAGUCCUUUAAGUCCUUUAAGAGUUCUUCCUCGAGAAGCUCGGAAGUCGUGUACGAACGCUUUUAAUCCAACCGGAGUCCGCUGCGAGGGAAGUGCAACAAAGAGCCAACCUUUUAAAGCGAUAAAGCUUAACGUUUGCCAAUUGAUAACAGGCGAUAACGAUAAGCCCGAAUAUCAGGAAAAAGAGAUUCCAAUCGUUGGAAAUUAUUCACCAGGCUGAAGAGGCACUCGCGAGAAACACGAUCAAUUCUGCUGAAGAAUAACACGUUUAACGUUCGAGGUAAUAUGUUCAGUAUUACAGUGUGCCAUACUACCGCGAACAUCAGUACAAACUUUUCGAUAGAACGGAUACGAAUUCCGGCUUCUGGAAGGAGCAUCCAAUCCAAGAUAGUCGAUCUGGAAGACAGAAAUCUAUCGAAUAUCUGACGGUCGAUUGGAAGGAAAAAUAGGAUUAUCGAAAAUCGUUUAAGGAUUUGACAAUCGAGGAAGCGUUACAAUGGCUGAGAGAACGGCGACUGACAGUGAAAAAGUGGAAGAAAUCGCGCUGGAUAAGACGCAGGAGAUCAACGCCAUUUUGUCAGCGGAGACGCCGGUUGUCACGGAAGAUGGAGGCGAAAUUAACAGACGGGUCAAGAGGAACAUCAUCAUCGUACCAGAACCCAACGUGUUUGAAAAAGAUGGAACGACAUACCGACGCGAUAGGAAUGGACGUUGGAGACCCGUAUUGCACUAAUUAACAUUCCACACGGAAUUAGUUUGCGUUUUGUUUUUUAAAUGCUUUAUCGAUUUUUACCCAUCGAUUGAUAGGUCAGGUGAUUCAAACGGUUUUAAAGUAUUGGAAAUUUAAUGAAUUUUUAUUAGCAUACUGGCAAAGCGGCUAUAUUAGUAAACGACCGUUACACUCCAAGUUUCCAAGAUAACGUGUAACAUCCUGCAAUAUAUAUCGUUUUAAUUACCACAAAGUUCGGAGACUCAUCUUAAGAUACCUUCGAAGAUUUCAGAAGAUUUCUUGAAAAUGAUCUCUUUAAGAGUUUACAAGUUUUCAAAACCAUCUCAAAAUGAUCUCGAAGAAAUUAUUUCAAGCAUGAUAAUAAUUCGGCAGGAAUGAAUCAAGAUUUGUAUACAUGUGCUUUUGGAAAUAUUUGGAAGAUUCUAUGUACCUUGUCAAGAAAGAACUUUCACAAUU